Molecule: ribosomal RNA, 261 nt
Filed under: uncultured bacterium
Lineage: Bacteria
Description: partial 16S ribosomal RNA
Rfam family: Bacterial small subunit ribosomal RNA
Source: RNAcentral
UACGGAGGGUGCAAGCGUUAUCCGGAUUCACUGGGUUUAAAGGGUGCGUAGGUGGGCUUGUAAGUCAGUGGUGAAAUCUCCGGGCUUAACCCGGAAACUGCCAUUGAUACUAUAGGUCUUGAAUUAUCUGGAGGUCAGCGGAAUAUGUCAUGUAGCGGUGAAAUGCUUAGAUAUGACAUAGAACACCAAUUGCGAAGGCAGCUGGCUACAGGUAUAUUGACACUGAGGCACGAAAGCGUGGGGAUCAAACCAGGAGUUAGA